This 301-nucleotide ribosomal RNA is filed under the name uncultured bacterium. RNAcentral describes it as "partial 16S ribosomal RNA". It matches the Rfam family "Bacterial small subunit ribosomal RNA", at positions 509 to 809 of the family's 1533-position model. The record is from RNAcentral.
CAGCCGCCACGGUAACACGUAGGGUGCGAGCGUUAAUCGGAAAUACUGGGCGUAAAGCGUGCGCAGGCGGUUAUAUAAGACAGAUGUGAAAUCCCCGGGCUCAACCUGGGACCUGCAUUUGUGACUGUAUAGCUAGAGUACGGUAGAGGGGGAUGGAAUUCCACGUGUAGCAGUGAAAUGCGUAGAGAUGUGGAGGAACACCGAUGGCGAAGGCAGCCCCCUGGGCCAAUACUGACGCUCAUGCACGAAAGCGUGGGGAGCAAACAGGAUUAGAUACCCCCGUAGUCCCUGUCUCUUAUAA